Triticum urartu is the source of this 670-nucleotide long non-coding RNA. RefSeq lists it as uncharacterized. The record is from RefSeq and is a predicted model, not a curated record. Lineage: Eukaryota; Viridiplantae; Streptophyta; Magnoliopsida; Poales; Poaceae.
UUGAUUUUUUGCCCUCUGUCAAAUGGGUCCCGCAUAUAAUGACCAAAAUAGCCAUGCUCCCAGAUUGACCAGGAACAGGAGAGGAGCUCUCGGUCGCUCGUCUCAUCCCCUUCCUCUCGCCGACAGCAACACCAGGAGACCGCGGCGGCUACUCGGUGGCGAGUCGCGCUUGGUUGUCCUCGACGGCCGACGGUCCUUGUCGUCCGCGACGACUACAUCCUGGUGAGUCGGCCACCGCGUUGCCGUGAUGUGCGUUGCCGCUGUGGCUUCGAUGACCACGGCUGCAGGGACGCGUCGUACAACGCGGCACGGACGAACUGACCCUUCCCUUCGUCGCCUCAGACAACAACAGCUCGUCCAUGGUGCUUUUGCAGGUCGUGUCACGCCGUCCCCGAGCAGCAUGGCCGCUGACUCCAUGCAGGUCUCCGGCAGCGAGGGCCGCCGCCCUCAUACUGCUCCUGCCCCGCGACGCGUCGUCUACCCUGAACCGUGGAUUAACAGCACCAUGCAGCCAGAGCCUGCAACUUUCUUUCUUUCUUUCUUUUUUGACGUUCUCAGAGCCUGCAUCUUGGUCCAUGGAUGGAUGCAUCUGUAUGAACAUCAUCGAGUGAUUCUAAGUUCAGAACAUCAUUUGGACAAUAAUUAAUCAACUCCUUACAUUCUUCUCUCA